CUAGAAUUUUCUGCACACAGGCAUAGAAAUCUAUGAAAAUCAAAAAUUCCAAGUGCAAAUAAUGGUUAAUGUCUUCCCGAUAUUUAUCAUACCAAUGUUACCUGAAAAAUGAACAACUCAGAAAAACUCAGAAAGCCAUGUACUUACUGGUGACAACUGUGCCAUUCCCAGGAAUAUCUUGGACGGCUUGUUGGCUCCAAAGUUUAAGAAUCGUAGAAGAACUGAGAAGAAGCUGGCUCCAGCAGGAGGAUCUGCUCCAC
Fukomys damarensis (Damara mole-rat) is the source of this 260-nucleotide long non-coding RNA. RefSeq lists it as uncharacterized. The record is from RefSeq and is a predicted model, not a curated record. NCBI's taxonomy places the organism in Eukaryota, Metazoa, Chordata, Mammalia, Rodentia, Bathyergidae. The transcript is spliced from 3 exons.